GAGAGCCUUGGGCCUUCAGACCUCCAGUCUGCUAUAAGGUCUUAGUGGGACAGAUAGAUAGACAGAAAGAGAGAGCCUUGGGCCUUCAGACCUCCAGUCUGCUAUAAGGUCUUAGUGGGACAGAUAGAUAGACAGAAAGAUAGAGCCUUGGGCCUUCAGACCUCCAGUCUGUUAUAAGGUCUUAGUGGGACAGAUAGAUAGACAGAAAGAUAGAGCCUUGGGCCUUCAGACCUCCAGUCUGCUAUAAGGUCUUAGUGGGACAGAUAGAUAGACAGAAAGAUAGAGCCUUGGGCCUUCAGACCUCCAGUCUGCUAUAAGGUCUUAGUGCGACAGAUAGAUAGACAGAAAGAGAGAGCCUUGGGCCUUCAGACCUCCAGUCUGUUAUAAGGUCUUAGUGGGACAGAAAGAGAGAGCCUUGGGCCUUCAGACCUCCAGUCUGCUAUAAGGUCUUAGUGCGACAGAUAGAUAGACAGAAAGAGAGAGCCUUGGGCCUUCAGACCUCCAGUCUGUUAUAAGGUCUUAGUGGGACAGAUAGAUAGACAGAAAGAUAGAGCCUUGGGCCUUCAGACCUCCAGUCUGCUAUAAGUUCUUAGUGGGACAGAUAGAUAGACAGAAAGAUAGAGCCUUGGGCCUUCAGACCUCCAGUCUGCUAUAAGGUCUUAGUGGGACAGAUAGAUAGACAGAAAGAUAGAGCCUUGGGCCUUCAGACCUCCAGUCUGCUAUAAGGUCUUAGUGGGACAGAUAGAUCGACAGAAAGAGAGAGCCUUGGGCCUUCAGACCUCCAGUCUGUUAUAAGGUCUUAGUGCGACAGAAAGAUAGAGCCUUGGGCCUUCAGACCUCCAGUCUGCUAUAAGGUCUUAGUGGGACAGAUAGAUAGACAGAAAGAUAGAGCCUUGGGCCUUCAGACCUCCAGUCUGCUAUAAGGUCUUAGUGGGACAGAUAGACAGACAGAAAGAUAGAGCCUUGGGCCUUCAGACCUCCAGUCUGCUAUAAGGUCUUAGUGGGACAGAAAGAGAGAGCCUUGGGCCUUCAGACCUCCAGUCUGUUAUAAGGUCUUAGUGGGACAAAUAGAUAGACAGAAAGAUAGAGCCUUGGGCCUUCAGACCUCCAGUCUGCUAUAAGGUCUUAGUGGGACAGAUAGAUAGACAGAAAGAUAGAGCCUUGGGCCUUCAGACCUCCAGUCUGCUAUAAGGUCUUAGUGGGACAGAUAGAUAGACAGAAAGAUAGAGCCUUGGGCCUUCAGACCUCCAGUCUGCUAUAAGGUCUUAGUGGGACAGAUAGAUAGACAGAAAGAUAGAGCCUUGGGCCUUCAGACCUCCAGUCUGCUAUAAGGUCUUAGUGGGACAGAUAGAUAGACAGAAAGAGAGAGCCUUGGGCCUUCAGACCUCCAGUCUGUUAUAAGGUCUUAGUGGGACAGAUAGAUAGACAGAAAGAUAGAGCCUUGGGCCUUCAGACCUCCAGUCUGCUAUAAGGUCUUAGUGGGACAGAUAGACAGACAGAAAGAUAGAGCCUUGGGCCUUCAGACCUCCAGUCUGCUAUAAGGUCUUAGUGGGGUCUCUAUCAUCUAGCCCAGCCCCGGCCAGCGCCGCCCCGAUCCCAGUCACCCCGAUUCCAGCAGCCAUCCUGGACAAGGAAUGGUGGUUCUGGUUGGGUGGAGGGCCAGAGAGGC
Long non-coding RNA from Oncorhynchus keta (chum salmon), 1669 nucleotides. RefSeq lists it as uncharacterized. The transcript has 8 exons. The record is from RefSeq and is a predicted model, not a curated record. Lineage: Eukaryota; Metazoa; Chordata; Actinopteri; Salmoniformes; Salmonidae.